Molecule: small nucleolar RNA, 97 nt
Filed under: Oryzias javanicus (javanese ricefish)
Lineage: Eukaryota; Metazoa; Chordata; Actinopteri; Beloniformes; Adrianichthyidae
Description: Z30 small nucleolar RNA (ENSOJAG00000011077.1)
Rfam family: Z30 small nucleolar RNA
About the family: Z30 belongs to the C/D class of snoRNA which contain the C (UGAUGA) and D (CUGA) box motifs. Most of the members of the box C/D family function in directing site-specific 2'-O-methylation of substrate RNAs.
Source: Rfam by way of RNAcentral
GAGCAGUGAUGAUUUUAGAUAUGACUGACUUGGAAUUGCUGGCUUCACGUCAGGCUCUGUCCUUGAAAUGACGUCUGUUAAUCUUCUCUCUGAGCUG